AUUAUUAAUAUUGCUUUCUUUUGUUUACAGGAACAGAAGAAAGUAUGGGAUGCUGCCGGAAGCGCGAGAGACGCAUCGGGAUCGGAGGUCAAUUAAUUCAUAAUGUCAACUCACACAAAACUGCAUCUGAGCCAAGCGUGAAUUCGCGCGAAACGAUUCUGCGAGGUAAUACUUCGUGAAGUAGAGAAACCUCGGCGUACAUCGAGGAAACUGCCGAGGAGGUGAAGGGCGAGGAGGGAACCGGAGGUCGAUCGAGGUCCCGAUGGAGCGCGAUGACUGAAGGACUGAAACAGUGUACAACACAAGGAGCAGACUUCGGGAAAAAUAUCAAUCUGGAGAUUGAAACGUAAAAGGCCAGCAAAGGAUUCGAGUGUCAACUGCACUGAAUCGAAGGAUGGGUGGGCAUGUCCAGGGAAGAGCGAUGCCGCGUCUAACAUCCCCGAGGGUGUCGUGAAGCCCGGAAUGGGGGGACGCCCGGGGUAGCUUCAUCAACGGAUAUUAAAGGAUUUGCAUGAAGUAUUAUUAUCGUUAUUGCCAGCAUACCCCGGCGACGAGCGAAGAGUGUGGAUGUCGAGUUAAGCGAUAAUUUUAUUCGACACUCGUUCGGCUCAAACACGUUGUCAGUUUCGUUGCCGACGACGAGAGUGCGAUUCCGUGUUAAUUAAACGCGGCUGCAAGAGAGGAGCCGCUUGAUUGAUAGAAUAUUCUCAUUGGUCGUCAGAUGGAUUUAUUUGUGUUCCCCAUCUGGGCGACAUACUUACACGGGACUGUAAGCGAAACUAGAAACGACGAUUUCCUGUCUGCGCGCUGUGAUCGGUUUUGCGCGAGCGGUGUUUACGCGAGCAGCUUAUUUAUAUAAUGGCGCGUUUAAAGGUACUAAAAAUUAUCGAUUUCCUUGCGAAACGACAACGCGGGUUUUCUUAGCCGACCCCUCGCAGCCACCGCUGUGUAAUUAAACUUUAGAAACGUAAUUUCGCGCGAGCUUUUGGCCGGUGUAAGCGGCAUUUUUACCAGAUUUUAAUACGAACGCCUCAAUAAGCGAGUCGGAUGAAUGACAUUAAAUUAUAUGGUGUGCUGUAAGGCGCUCGAACGAGGGGGGACUUGGCGCGAAUAGCAAGCCGCAUCUGUGGCCCCGCAGAGGGUGUAACUGUUAUAACGGGGCGAGGGCGAGUCCGACUUGCGCUGACUUGUGCCCGCUUCCACUUCCUAUCCCUAUAUAUUCCCUUUACUCUACUUGGCGCUAACUUUAUUGCGUGGCAAUUUGCUUAUUAACUUGCAGUUAGUCUCGGCUGCGCGUCGAUUAAUUAAUAGGCGCCGAGUCGCCAGAUGGGAGACACGCCCAGAAUCCACCUUCCGCGCCGAGCCAGCGAGAUUUGUACGCGUUAUCCUUAAAUACUCGCCACCCCACUUGCGACCCCUGCCAGAUUGUCGAACUUUAUCCAGUUCGCCGCGCUGCCAUUAAGACCGAGUCCGUCAAAUGGGAUAACAUUGCGCCGGGAUAACUUUGCAUUAGAAUGAAAACGAUUUUAUAAUUACUUAAUGUCUAAGAAAAUAAUCAGCAAGGUAACGAAAAGAGUACUGCAAGCACGGGCGCGUAUUAUUUUAAUUCGAGAUAAAUAAAUUUAAAUAGGAGAGGCAAAAAAAUGCGUCAACGGAAUUUUCGGGGUGUCGAAGCGACGCGUUUAGUACCCCUGAAGAUCGUGAAAAAGAUUGAGAUGGAUAGCAGUUUUUUUGUUGACACUUUGAAGAAAAGAAAGGAAUAGUACAGUUGUCGGAGUUGCCGUAUUUUCCAUCAUUAUGCCCCUCUCGAGCUUACUUAACACUAGUCGUAUAACCCGCGCCAGGCAAUAUACCCUAUCUCCCUUGUCUUCACCUGUGCUUAGCCAACCACCGAUAGAUGUACACACGCCUAAGCGGCCGACACUGUGGCAUUGCGUAAACGUAACGCGUUGACGACGUACGUUGGCGGGUGCAAACAUUUGUGCAGCUUCCUUAGCCGCCGCACGGUAAACCUGAACCGAGAUUUCGCUCGUUGAUGCUGUACACACAUAUACGUACACGAGAGGGUGCCGUAACGAGCUUUGAUGCUACCAUUUGGCGAACGGUUGAUUGAUCCACUUGGCUCAUUUGCUGUCUGUAGUGCCGUGUAAGAGACUUGUAAGAGUCAAGAUCAAUUAUACCGCAAGUAGGUACUUUGAGCUUGGA
This is a long non-coding RNA of Linepithema humile (Argentine ant), 2205 nucleotides long. RefSeq lists it as uncharacterized. The record is from RefSeq and is a predicted model, not a curated record. NCBI's taxonomy places the organism in Eukaryota, Metazoa, Arthropoda, Insecta, Hymenoptera, Formicidae.